AGGAUAAUAGUUAAUUAUAACAUUUAAUUUGCAUUUAAAAAGUAUUGUGUACCAAUUUAUCUUU
Molecule: transfer RNA, 64 nt
Filed under: Phyllotreta parallela
Lineage: Eukaryota; Metazoa; Arthropoda; Insecta; Coleoptera; Chrysomelidae
Description: tRNA-Ala
Source: RNAcentral